Punica granatum (pomegranate) is the source of this 734-nucleotide non-coding RNA. NCBI's taxonomy places the organism in Eukaryota, Viridiplantae, Streptophyta, Magnoliopsida, Myrtales, Lythraceae. The record is from RefSeq and is a predicted model, not a curated record.
UCUCUUCAGUAAGCACUGCUAUGGAGGCAAUUGGGCCGGUAAAGUGUAUCCCGCCACAGGUGGAGAACAGCAUUUCAGCUGUGAUUCCUGGCCGCUCAGAAUGGUGCAUUUCCUGGCAGAGGACCGGUGGUGUCCCGAUACCUGUUCUCGAUCAUAAAGACCAGGGAACCUCUUAUGAAUGAAGAGAGCAUCAAUCACAUUAAGUCUAUAAUUGCGCAAAAGGGAAGUGACGCAUGGUGGUACAUGAAAGUCGUUGAUCUACUUCCAGGCAGAUAUCACGAUGAAGCUUCAAACUAUGAAAGGGGGGCAGAUACGCUGGAUGUGUGGUUUGACUCAGGCUCUUCAUGGGCAGCUGUGCUGGGGAAAAGAAACGGGCUUCAUUUUCCUGCAGAUUUGCCACUUGAAGGCACAUACCGGCAUCGAGGGUGGUUCCAGAGUUCAUUAUUAACAAGCAUAGCUACGAACGGGCUCCAAACAAAGGGGUUGUAGGGCACGGGUUCGUCCUAGAUGAGAAGGGUCUCAAAAUGAGCAUAUCUCUUGGCAACUUUGAUGAUCCACAUACUGUAAUGGAAGGAGGGAAGAACCAAAAGGAAGCACCAGCAUUCGGAGCAGAUGUUCUACGUUUGUGGGGUUCUAGUGUAGAAUACACUACAGAUGUGACGAUCGGUCCCCAAGCCCUGCGUCAAAUUUCUGAUAUAUACAGAAAUUCUAUCCCGUUGCAUGAAAAUAUUCUC